GGCUUUACAGCUCAAUUGGUCGAGCAUCGCACGGCACCGGUAUUGCGGGGUCACAGGUUUGAAUCCCGUUGAAGCCC
RNAcentral lists this transfer RNA (77 nucleotides) under Acropora cervicornis. Its description in RNAcentral is "tRNA-Thr". It matches the Rfam family "tRNA". Rfam says of the family: Transfer RNA (tRNA) molecules are approximately 80 nucleotides in length. Their secondary structure includes four short double-helical elements and three loops (D, anti-codon, and T loops). Lineage: Eukaryota; Metazoa; Cnidaria; Anthozoa; Scleractinia; Acroporidae. The record is from RNAcentral.